UCAACAAGUGCAAUUAGUGAAGAUCGGUCCAAUAAAUAAUAAAAAUAAUAUUUUAUAAAAGUUUGUUGUAUUUAAUUUGUGAAAUAUUAAAUUAUAUAUUAAGAAAAAUGUGAGUUUCGAAUAAAAUGGUACCGAACUUAAUAAAAUAUUGUAAGAAAAUCAUGUUUUAUAAUAUUCGAUUUACCACGUUUUAUGAAAAUUACAACGUCCCAAAAAGAGGAACGAACUUAACUUAAGAAUAGUUAAUUAUAUAGUUCAAGAGUAAAAAUUACAGUAAUUGAAAGCAGUGGCGCCUCAAACUAAAAAGGAAAAGAAAAACAAAAAUCUGUCAAAAAAUCACAUACAAAUAUCAAUUACGGUUAUUUACUAUUUUUCUAUUUCUUUUAUACUCACAUAUUAUGAAAUUACGAUAUUAUUAGGUUCGUAUACUACAAAAAAAAAAGACUAAUGAAAAAUUAUGAAAUUUUGUGUGUUAAUUUUCCAAAUACCAUAAAUAAUUUAACCCUUCAGCAGUUUACAAUUUUUGAUUUUCGUUUUCUUCUAUUUCGAAUUUUACUUGCUCUCUUAACUCUUAAAAGAGGUGCAAAAACUAUGUUUACAAAAAAUUAUAAAAAUAUCAAACUUCCUUCAGACAAUAUCGUUAUUGAGAAAUAAACUUGUCGUACUAUAGUGACAACAAUAAUAUAACAAGAAAAAACAAAAAACAACCAAAAAUACAUAUAAAAUUUCAAAAACAAAAAAAAAAGAGAAAAAAAGUUGGUUAAAAAAAGAUUUACCUUCAUAUAUUGCAUAAUAGGUACGGCGGAUUCGAUUAUUUUGUGUAAUUUUUUUUUCGCACUCUACUUGAUUGUGUGGUGGCUUUGAUCGUAAAGUAAAAAAUACCUACUCCAGCGGAGAGACAGAAAAGCAUUUGCAAUAAGUGAAACCAGUCUGUAUGAUACAAAACAACAUCAGAGAAAAUAAAAACAAAAAUUUUUCUUUUAUCAUUAUUACUGCAAUGCGACAAAAAUGUCGUUUUUUCUCAGCAACAAAAUAUUUUAAUGUUGAUUUGACAAUACAUAAUUGAUGUAGUAGGCAUUUUUUUUUACUAUUGCUAUAAAUUUUUUAUUUUAUUGAUUUUCUUCUUGUAAUUUUCUAUAAUAUAUUUAAUGUUGUAUAGAAAGAGAUAGAACGAGAGGAAGGAAAUUAAUUUUCUACUGUUUUUUUUCUCUAUUUGUUUUUUCUUUAUUUUCUCUAAAUAAAUAAACUAAGUUCAAAAGAUCAAUAACUUCCGAGAAAAUACAAUAAUCAAAUAUUGAAAGAGAAAAACAAAUAUAACAAAAUUAUGCACUACAAUAAAAAUUUAAAUAUUGAAAAUGCAAGCAUAUUAUAAGCGGCAAUAGAUAAUGACGUAGCAAAAAUAUAUUACAAAAUAUAUUUUAAAUAAUAAAUAUUAUUAAAAGUUAGGAUGAGUUGUUGAAUAUUUCUAUUGAAAUAAGUUAAAACUGUCAAAUUUAACAAGUAGCGCACUGUAUAGGAAAAAAGUAAAGGAAUUGUCAGCACCAGCAUUAUUAUUACAUUUGUGAAUAAAGUGUGCAGUAUUCAAUUCGUAUUAGAAUUAGAAUUUGUAGUAAAAAAUCAAAAUGGAUACUAUAAAAAGAAUUGCAUUAGCAAUUUACGAUAUUCUAACACUAUACAUGAAAUUUGCAUUUUUAGCAUUAAUUAUUUUUAAAUUAUUUGAAUGGUAUGCUAUUAUAUUUGACGAAAAUUAUUAUCAUGGUAGUAGUACAAGUGACAGUGAUAGUACAAGUAAUAAUAAUAUAAAAAAUAUUACUAAUAGCAACAGUCCUAUGACUAUUAAAAGUGAAUUAUAGUUAAAAAUAAAAAAAAAAAGAGUUGAAAGAAAAUCAAAAUUAUGAAUAAAUUUUAUUAAAUAUUCAAUUUUUGACAUUUUAUUACCACACAUAUUUGAAAUGUCUAAUGUAUGUAUGUAGGUACAUGUAUGACAUUAUUAUGAACUUGUUUGGAUGCGUUUAUUUAUUUAUAUUUUUCUUCUCUCUGUAUAUUAUAUACUAAUUGAUUUUUCAAUAAAACAUAAUAUUUAAAUUUCAAAAUAUCAUAUUUUUAAAUAAAAUCGUCGAACAAACAUAAAAAAAAUAGUAGUAAUAAUAAAUAAAAUAAAUAAUAAUAAUAAUAAUAAUAAAAAAAAUUUAAAACUGUCGAAGGUCAACUGUCAAUAUUUAAAAAAGAAAACAAAAAUAAGAAAUGAAAAAAAGAAAAAAAAAACAGAAAUCCGUUUUGAUCGCAGCCAAAAGAAAGAGAAUGCACACGUUAAUGACAAGACAACCAUUUAAUACGAAACAAAAUAUUUUUCAAUUUUUUUAUAUAUAAAUUUUAAUGCAAAUUGUUUUCAAUAUUAUAAGGUGAAUGCAUUAAAAUAGAAAUUAAACAAAAAAUUAGUUUAGAAAGAAAAACAAAACGAAACUGAAAAGCGUGCACUACAAAAAAAAUGUUACUAAUCAGCUGAUUAAUUAAAUUAUAAAUAAGCGUUUUAAUUAUAUUGUGCUAGAAUUUAACAACUAAAUUGAAUAAAGUUAAGAGUUUCAACACAAAUACUUAGGUAAAAAACAAAAAAAAAAUCCGUUUGAUUGUGUUUGAAUAAUUGUGUUGAAAUAAUAAAAUAUUGCAUUGUUGUGAAUUGUACUGCGGUGUUGCAUUCUAUUUGUAUGAUAAUAUUCGGCAAAAAAACGAAUGUGUUAAUUAUAUAGAUAUGUUUUUAUACAUGUAUGUACAUCUUAGUUAAACAGUUGCUGGGAUUUAUUAAAAAAAAAAUACUUUUACAGGCUAUUUAUAAAAUUCUUAAUACUAAUCCAACAUGUUCCGUAAUGAAAAUGUUGCGUCAGCACUUCAUUCUUGAAAAAAAUAUUCGUUAUGUCAUGCACUUGUUUACUUUCUGCCUGCUGAAAAGAUGUAGAGUCGGCGUUUUAGCUGGUCGAAGCGUUCUUUAUUAGAUUUGGUUAGAUUUGAUGUUUCUUAUAUGCACUCGCAGUUUUCAUGAAGGUAUGAAAAUGUUGCGUGUGUGACGUAACGUAAUUCUAGUAUGCUGAUUUAAUAUGAUAUUUUCCUAACUCUUCCACUUCUAAAGAUCUGCGUCCUGUAGAUUAAAGUUGUAUGAUAUUUCAAGUGGGAGCUGUAUUUGUAAGGUUGCGAUAAUUACUUGCUUUGAUCGCUCCCUUGCUUGUAAGAUUAUGAAGAUAUCGAUGAUGCUGAUGAUUAAAAUGAAGUUAAUGCACAUUAACUUCAUUUCAAUUAUUAAGGUGAAGUUAAUGCACAUAGUCCAAGUUGAGAUUUAUGCCUUUUUGGAGAAGUUUUGUUGAAAUAGGGCAGCUAAUACUUGUUUUGUUAUUAUUGAUGAGCUUACGAGAGUUUUAUCUUUGAUUUGAAUACUUUCGUUGUCGUGUUGUACGAUGAAACUAAAAAUGAUGACGCUAAUGAUCGAAGGCCUUCGCCACAUCUGAAAAGGAUCCAAAGGCAAUUUUUUUUGCCUCCAACGUCCUUUAUAUCUCCUAUUUCUUCUUGUGAAUGAUUUUGGCCUGUUCUGGGAACCUUUUUUUUUCGAUUUAACCUCCAGCUUGGGCUUAUCAGAUCUGUCUGUUGCCUUUAGCGAGCUGUAAAAUCUAUUCCUUUUUUUUGUACCAUUAGGCUUCAAGAAAACCUCUCUGGCCUCACCUAUAUUAAUCCCCCUGUUCAGCAGCCUUUUAAAGCGCUUCUUCGCUUCGCCACUCAUUUUCCUCUUCUUCACUUAUGGCAAAGUAGCCAUUCCCCGGUCACCCGUUGUAGAAAAACUCAAUACUAGUUGAAGCAGGAUGGCACAUGGUAUCCAGAGUGCUCGUCGCUUUCUCAUUUGAUUCACCGAGCUACUAUUGAAUUGUAGAAAUUUCUCUUGUGCACUGGUAUGCUUCAGAAAUUUAGAUUUCGAAUUUUCAGAACAGUAGGCCUCAGGUAGUUUGAGUGGUCUCUGGAUUAUCACCAUGCGCGAGAGGUCCCCAUUUAGUUCUCUUAUAAACACAUCUAACGCCCCAUUCCUGUAAGUUUCAACAAGAGCAUUCACGGUAUAUGGGGUGCAGCUCUCUAUUUUAAUUCUAUUGAUUAUUAAAUAUUAACUAGUGGCCUUUUUUAAAAAUGUCAUAUGAUGAUCACAUGUUUCCGCUACUGACCAUUAUCUACAAAGUUGGCACUGACAUUCAAUCAUUUGACUUUUGAAAUUAUUCACACUUGCAAAAAGCCAUUUGAAAUUUUUAAAUUCAAAUGUAAUUUGAUGUAAGUUUAUUCGUUUGAAGUUUAAAAAAAGAAUUUAUUUGGAUGUUAAUCCAAAUCUUUAUUGUGCUUCAAUUGAAUUACAAAAUUA
Long non-coding RNA from Condylostylus longicornis, 4387 nucleotides. RefSeq lists it as uncharacterized. The transcript has 4 exons. The record is from RefSeq and is a predicted model, not a curated record. NCBI's taxonomy places the organism in Eukaryota, Metazoa, Arthropoda, Insecta, Diptera, Dolichopodidae.